Molecule: transfer RNA, 48 nt
Filed under: Thalictrum robustum
Lineage: Eukaryota; Viridiplantae; Streptophyta; Magnoliopsida; Ranunculales; Ranunculaceae
Description: partial tRNA-Leu
Source: RNAcentral
UAGUAAGAGGAAAAUCCGUCGACUUUUUAAAUCGUGAGGGUUCAAGUC